Macrobrachium nipponense is the source of this 319-nucleotide long non-coding RNA. RefSeq lists it as uncharacterized. Lineage: Eukaryota; Metazoa; Arthropoda; Malacostraca; Decapoda; Palaemonidae. The record is from RefSeq and is a predicted model, not a curated record. The transcript has 2 exons.
GGUCAUUCUAGCUUUGGUUUCCGAAUCCGAAUCACUUAGAAAAAUUUGGUUCAACUGACUCGAGCUCAAGUGGGUACUCUGAAACUACAGAGGGAUUGCCAUUACAUCAUCUCAAAGCUGAGGACUCAACCUUGAGUUAGCACCAGACUGACAAGUCACUUCCCGAGAAGCAUCUUCCUGAAUUUGAAUAGAUGAAUUUAUCGGAAUUCGGACCUGAUGGGCUAGUCAUUCCGAGGCAAAUCUUCCUAAGAUUUUGAAUCUAGGAGUUUUUUAGAAUGAGUAUCCUCAAAGAUUUUUGUCAAUGCCGAAGCACUAAAUA